This 486-nucleotide unclassified non-coding RNA is filed under the name Suckleya suckleyana. RNAcentral's name for it is "partial contains external transcribed spacer and small subunit ribosomal RNA". The stretch from base 420 to 486 matches the Rfam family "Eukaryotic small subunit ribosomal RNA", at positions 1 to 67 of the family's 1831-position model. Lineage: Eukaryota; Viridiplantae; Streptophyta; Magnoliopsida; Caryophyllales; Amaranthaceae. The record is from RNAcentral.
UGAUUGGUUUAUUUGGUUGGCGGGCUCCAUGCUUGUGCAUUGAACCGUUGAAUGAUAAAUCUCUUCAAUGUUUGCUUCAAGAGCACUUUGUGCCUUGGGUGAGUGAUGGUUUUCUGUGUUGGAUUCCUAAUGAAGGCAUUGUUUUCCUUAACUUGUUACUCUCCGCCUAACAAACUUUUGGGUGUUUGGUGGACCUCUGUAGCUAGAUUUCAUGCCCAGCCACAAUGUCAACGCAUUGUUGCCAUGGAGUAGGGACUCUAGUUUGUGCCCUGGGAUGCAGAAAGUUGAGUGGGGACAGGCAUUUAUUUGUCAUGGUCCCAAUGAAGCGUUUUACGCUAUGCACGAAUGACAUUCGAGCACGAGUUGACCCUCCCCUCAAAAAGGAGGGCUCAUGCGUGCCGUUGUCAAUUGAGGAGUGCUACCUGGUUGAUCCUGCCAGUAGUCAUAUGCUUGUCUCAAAGAUUAAGCCAUGCAUGUGUAAGUAUG